UACGUAGGGGGCUAGCGUUGUCCGGAAUCAUUGGGCGGAAAGAGCGUGUAGGCGGCCCGGUAAGUCCGCUGUGAAAGUCGGGGGCUCAACCCUCGAAUGCCGGUGGAUACUGUCGGGCUAGAGUGCGGAAGAGGCGGGUGGAAUUCCUGGUGUAGCGGUGAAAUGCGCAGAUAUCAGGAGGAACACCGAUUGCGAAGGCAGCUCGCUGGGACGUAACUGACGCUGAGACGCGAAAGCGUGGGGAGCAAACAGG
RNAcentral lists this ribosomal RNA (253 nucleotides) under uncultured bacterium. Its description in RNAcentral is "partial 16S ribosomal RNA". It matches the Rfam family "Bacterial small subunit ribosomal RNA", at positions 524 to 776 of the family's 1533-position model. The record is from RNAcentral.